UGGGGAAUAUUGCACAAUGGGCGCAAGCCUGAUGCAGCAACGCCGCGUGAACGAUGAAGGUCUUCGGAUCGUAAAGUUUUGUUGCAGGGGAAGAUAAUGACGGUACCCUGUGAGGAAGCCCCGGCUAACUACGUGCCAGCAGCCGCGGUAAUACGUAGGGGGCUAGCGUUAUCCGGAUUUACUGGGCGUAAAGGGUGCGUAGGUGGUCUUUCAAGUCGGUGGUUAAAGGCUACGGCUCAACCGUAGUUAGCCUCCGAAACUGGAAGACUUGAGUGCAGGAGAGGAAAGUGGAAUUCCCAGUGUAGCGGUGAAAUGCGUAGAUAUUGGGAGGAACACCAGUAGCGAAGGCGGCUUUCUGGACUGCAACUGACACUGAGGCACGAAAGCGUGGGUAGCAAACAGG
This 403-nucleotide ribosomal RNA is filed under the name Verrucomicrobiota bacterium. RNAcentral describes it as "Verrucomicrobia bacterium partial 16S ribosomal RNA". It matches the Rfam family "Bacterial small subunit ribosomal RNA", at positions 355 to 776 of the family's 1533-position model. Lineage: Bacteria; Pseudomonadati; Verrucomicrobiota. The record is from RNAcentral.